Long non-coding RNA from Drosophila montana, 1134 nucleotides. RefSeq lists it as uncharacterized. The record is from RefSeq and is a predicted model, not a curated record. Lineage: Eukaryota; Metazoa; Arthropoda; Insecta; Diptera; Drosophilidae. The transcript is spliced from 3 exons.
AAAGCUAGGGAGAACAUUAAAAGUAAUUUUUAAAAAUGUUUUGAAAAAUCAAAAAACCUAAUUUAUUAAUUUUCCUCAAUCUUAAGUCCAAAGUGAAUAACAAACAUUUUUAUAAAAAAAAAAUAAAAAAUAAAUAAUAUACAUCAAACUACGUAAUGUACAUUUUACACCGUAUGGCUAACUCGAUUGACGCAUUGAUGUCCACACUCGCCUAAGUACACAAAUAUAUUGUCUAACAUGCCGGCAUGUAUAGAACCCCCCCCCCCCCUCACACGUUUUAAUAUUCACCCUCAACCCACAAACGAUGCAUAUAAAAAACACAUGUUUAGACUCGAAUUACCCAACACGUACAAAUAACUCAAAACAAGCAUACAAAAUUAACACUGUUUACACUUUACCAAUUUAUAUUAUAUUAUUAACCAACACUAGGAUGUAUGUAUAAUCAAAACAUAAAUGCUUAAUAAAGCUCACAAUUAACCACACACACACUCGUACUACUCAAAGAGACGACGUAUGCUUAACACCCACUAUGCAUACACUCGUACUACCCAACACUACGAUGCAUGCAUAACUCAACAAAGGCACAUUAUCGUAUUAACCAACAAAACACAAAUUUUCCGUUAAAAUGUAUUAUUGAAAAUAUGCACACUCGUGUUAUCCAACACCACGAGGUAGGCUGACUCAUUAAGAAACAUUGAAGUUUACACUCGACUAUGCACACACUUGUAUUGGCCAAUACUACGACUUAUGAACAACUCGCUACACGAAUUGAUAUUCACACUGAACUAUGCACCAUAACCUAUUGCCCAACACUACGGCGUUAAACACUAGCACCGCGCACUAAUUAAACGAGGUCCCACAUGAUGAUGAGUAAAGAGCUUCGAGAGGUAAAAACAGGAUGCUGUUUGAUAUGGACUCUGUCUGGUACCACAAUGGAUCAAUGGUCCUUCGGUCGAGCGGACUGUAUUAUUAAAACUAAUUUUACACCAUAAUAGAAUAUGAUAUGAAUAUGAAAAUUUUGAUGCUCUGUUGGAAUCGCAAAGUACAUGAAUAGAGGUUUCCAAAUUGUGUUGUGACUUUAGCAAAUAUGCAUUCAAAAUUAAAAAAAUUAUUAAAGUAAUUUAUUUUAAAAUA